GGUUAAGCGACUAAGCGUACACGGUGGAUGCCCUGGCAGUCAGAGGCGAUGAAGGGCGUGCUAAUCUGCGAUAAGCGCCGGUAAGGUGAUAUGAACCGUUAUAACCGGCGAUACCCGAAUGGGGAAACCCAGUGUGACUCGUCACACUAUCAUUAACUGAAUCCAUAGGUUAAUGAGGCGAACCGGGGGAACUGAAACAUCUAAGUACCCCGAGGAAAAGAAAUCAACCGAGAUUCCCCCAGUAGCGGCGAGCGAACGGGGAGGAGCCCAGAGCCUGAAUCAGCAUGUGUGUUAGUGGAAGCGUCUGGAAAGGCGCGCGAUACAGGGUGACAGCCCCGUACACAAAAGCGCAUGUGCUGUGAGCUCGAUGAGUAGGGCGGGACACGUGGUAUCCUGUCUGAAUAUGGGGGGACCAUCCUCCAAGGCUAAAUACUCCUGACUGACCGAUAGUGAACCAGUACCGUGAGGGAAAGGCGAAAAGAACCCCGGCGAGGGGAGUGAAAAAGAAUCUGAAACCGUGUACGUACAAGCAGUGGGAGCCCCACCACCAAAGCAUUCUCUGGUGUUGAAGGCCCUGCAAAGCAGCAUCGCGGUGGCGGAGCGUCGUUUGCGACGCCCAACACACAAAACAAGCGGUGAAUGCUUUGGGGUGGGGUGACUGCGUACCUUUUGUAUAAUGGGUCAGCGACUUAUAUUCUGUAGCAAGGUUAACCGAAUAGGGGAGCCGGAGGGAAACCGAGUCUUAAUUGGGCGUUAAGUUGCAGGGUAUAGACCCGAAACCCGGUGAUCUAGCCAUGGGCAGGUUGAAGGUUGGGUAACACUAACUGGAGGACCGAACCGACUAAUGUUGAAAAAUUAGCGGAUGACCUGUGGCUGGGGGUGAAAGGCCAAUCAAACCGGGAGAUAGCUGGUUCUCCCCGAAAGCUAUUUAGGUAGCGCCUCGUGAAUUCAUCUCCGGGGGUAGAGCACUGUUUCGGCUAGGGGGCCAUCCCGGCUUACCAACCCGAUGCAAACUGCGAAUACCGGAGAAUGUUAUCACGGGAGACACACGGCGGGUGCUAACGUCCGUCGUGAAGAGGGAAACAACCCAGACCGCCAGCUAAGGUCCCAAAGUCAUGGUUAAGUGGGAAACGAUGUGGGAAGGCCCAGACAGCCAGGAUGUUGGCUUAGAAGCAGCCAUCAUUUAAAGAAAGCGUAAUAGCUCACUGGUCGAGUCGGCCUGCGCGGAAGAUGUAACGGGGCUAAACCAUGCACCGAAGUUGCGGCAGCGACGCUGAUGCGUUGUUGGGUAGGGGAGCGUUCUGUAAGCCUGCGAAGGUGACCUGUGAGGGUUGCUGGAGGUAUCAGAAGUGCGAAUGCUGACAUAAGUAACGAUAAAGCGGGUGAAAAGCCCGCUCGCCGGAAGACCAAGGGUUCCUGUCCAACGUUAAUCGGGGCAGGGUGAGUCGACCCCUAAGGCGAGGCCGAAAGGCGUAGUCGAUGGGAAACGGGUUAAUAUUCCCGUACUUGGUGUUACUGCGAAGGGGGGACGGAGAAGGCUAUGUUGGCCGGGCGACGGUUGUCCCGGUUUAAGCGUGUAGGUGUGUGUUCCAGGUAAAUCCGGUUCACUUUAACACUGAGGCGUGAUGACGAGGCACUACGGUGCUGAAGCAACAAAUGCCCUGCUUCCAGGAAAAGCCUCUAAGCAUCAGGUAACAUCAAAUCGUACCCCAAACCGACACAGGUGGUCAGGUAGAGAAUACCAAGGCGCUUGAGAGAACUCGGGUGAAGGAACUAGGCAAAAUGGUGCCGUAACUUCGGGAGAAGGCACGCUGACACGUAGGUGAAGUGAUUUACUCACGGAGCUGAAGUCAGUCGAAGAUACCAGCUGGCUGCAACUGUUUAUUAAAAACACAGCACUGUGCAAACACGAAAGUGGACGUAUACGGUGUGACGCCUGCCCGGUGCCGGAAGGUUAAUUGAUGGGGUCAGCGCAAGCGAAGCUCCUGAUCGAAGCCCCGGUAAACGGCGGCCGUAACUAUAACGGUCCUAAGGUAGCGAAAUUCCUUGUCGGGUAAGUUCCGACCUGCACGAAUGGCGUAAUGAUGGCCAGGCUGUCUCCACCCGAGACUCAGUGAAAUUGAACUCGCUGUGAAGAUGCAGUGUACCCGCGGCAAGACGGAAAGACCCCGUGAACCUUUACUAUAGCUUGACACUGAACAUUGAGCCUUGAUGUGUAGGAUAGGUGGGAGGCUUUGAAGUGUGGACGCCAGUCUGCAUGGAGCCGACCUUGAAAUACCACCCUUUAAUGUUUGAUGUUCUAACGUGGACCCGUAAUCCGGGUUGCGGACAGUGUCUGGUGGGUAGUUUGACUGGGGCGGUCUCCUCCUAAAGAGUAACGGAGGAGCACGAAGGUUGGCUAAUCCUGGUCGGACAUCAGGAGGUUAGUGCAAUGGCAUAAGCCAGCUUGACUGCGAGCGUGACGGCGCGAGCAGGUGCGAAAGCAGGUCAUAGUGAUCCGGUGGUUCUGAAUGGAAGGGCCAUCGCUCAACGGAUAAAAGGUACUCCGGGGAUAACAGGCUGAUACCGCCCAAGAGUUCAUAUCGACGGCGGUGUUUGGCACCUCGAUGUCGGCUCAUCACAUCCUGGGGCUGAAGUAGGUCCCAAGGGUAUGGCUGUUCGCCAUUUAAAGUGGUACGCGAGCUGGGUUUAGAACGUCGUGAGACAGUUCGGUCCCUAUCUGCCGUGGGCGCUGGAGAACUGAGGGGGGCUGCUCCUAGUACGAGAGGACCGGAGUGGACGCAUCACUGGUGUUCGGGUUGUCAUGCCAAUGGCACUGCCCGGUAGCUAAAUGCGGAAGAGAUAAGUGCUGAAAGCAUCUAAGCACGAAACUUGCCCCGAGAUGAGUUCUCCCUGAGACUUUAGGUCUCCUGAAGGAACGUUGAAGACGACGACGUUGAUAGGCCGGGUGUGUAAGCGCAGCGAUGCGUUGAGCUAACCGGUACUAAUGAACCGUGAGGCUUAACCUU
This 3008-nucleotide ribosomal RNA is filed under the name Salmonella enterica subsp. enterica serovar Typhimurium. Its description in RNAcentral is "23S ribosomal RNA". It matches the Rfam family "Bacterial large subunit ribosomal RNA". The record is from RNAcentral. Lineage: Bacteria; Pseudomonadati; Pseudomonadota; Gammaproteobacteria; Enterobacterales; Enterobacteriaceae.